This 670-nucleotide ribosomal RNA is filed under the name uncultured fungus. Its description in RNAcentral is "eukaryotic LSU rRNA". The stretch from base 204 to 357 matches the Rfam family "5.8S ribosomal RNA". Lineage: Eukaryota; Fungi. The record is from RNAcentral.
UCCGUAGGUGAACCUGCGGAAGGAUCAUUACAGUAGUCACCCAGGUUGCCGCAAGGCCUCCUGGGUAACCUACCACCCUUUGUUUAUUACACUUUGUUGCUUUGGCAAGCCUGCCCUCGGGCUGCUGGCUCCGGCCGGCGAGCGCUUGCCAGAGGACCUAAACUCUGUUUGUCUAUACUGUCUGAGUACUAUAUAAUAGUUAAAACUUUCAACAACGGAUCUCUUGGCUCUCGCAUCGAUGAAGAACGCAGCGAAAUGCGAUACGUAAUGUGAAUUGCAGAAUUCAGUGAAUCAUCGAAUCUUUGAACGCAUAUUGCGCUCUUUGGUAUUCCGAAGAGCAUGCUUGUUUGAGUAUCAGUAAACACCUCAAAGCCUUUUUUCUUUUUUGAACAAAGGCUUUGGACUUGAGCAAUCCCAACACCAAUCUUUUUAAAGAGAGGGGGCGGGUUGCUUGAAAUGCAGGUGCAGCUGGACAUUCUUCUGAGCUAAAAGCAUAUUUAUUUAGUCCCGUCAAACGGAUUAUUACUUUUGCUCUAGCUAAUAUAAAGGUCGAAUGCGCUAUAUGCUGACUGAUGCAGGAUUACCAAGUUUUACCUAGUAAAACUUGUAAACUCGAUCUCAAAUCAAGUAAGACUACCCGCUGAACUUAAGCAUAUCAAUAAGCGGAGGA